Molecule: ribosomal RNA, 253 nt
Filed under: uncultured bacterium
Lineage: Bacteria
Description: partial 16S ribosomal RNA
Rfam family: Bacterial small subunit ribosomal RNA
Source: RNAcentral
UACGAAGGGGGCUAGCGUUGCUCGGAAUCACUGGGCGUAAAGGGUGCGUAGGCGGGGCUUUAAGUCAGGGGUGAAAUCCUGGAGCUCAACUCCAGAACUGCCUUUGAUACUGAGGAUCUUGAGUUCGGGAGAGGUGAGUGGAACUGCGAGUGUAGAGGUGAAAUUCGUAGAUAUUCGCAAGAACACCAGUGGCGAAGGCGGCUCACUGGCCCGAUACUGACGCCGAGGCACGAAAGCGUGGGGAGCAAACAGG